Molecule: ribosomal RNA, 274 nt
Filed under: uncultured bacterium
Lineage: Bacteria
Description: partial 16S ribosomal RNA
Rfam family: Bacterial small subunit ribosomal RNA
Source: RNAcentral
AUACAGAAGGUGCGAGCGUUAAUCGGAAUUACUGGGCGUAAAGGGUGCGUAGGCGGCUUGAUAAGUCGGAUGUGAAAGCCCCGGGCUCAACCUGGGAAUUGCAUUCGAUACUGUCAGGCUAGAGUAUGUCAGAGGUUGGCGGAAUUCCUGGUGUAGCGGUGAAAUGCGUAGAUAUCAGGAGGAACACCAGUGGCGAAGGCGGCUAACUGGGACAAUACUGACGCUGAGGCACGAAAGCGUGGGGAGCAAACGGGAUUAGAAACCCUAGUAGUCC